Molecule: long non-coding RNA, 326 nt
Filed under: Elaeis guineensis (African oil palm)
Lineage: Eukaryota; Viridiplantae; Streptophyta; Magnoliopsida; Arecales; Arecaceae
Description: long non-coding RNA (EGUI_LNC067876)
Source: RNAcentral
UUUAAUCUCUGACCUAAUUGAUUCAACCCAUAUCCUAGCUUAUGUUUCUUGCAAUUGAAAUUUAGAUCUUAAAUUCAUAAUUUUUAGAUCUUUUAAUUUCAAAUCUUAAUUCUUAAUUAAGUUCAUUAUGGACAUGGGUUCAGUUUAGAUGUCAAAAUAAUUUUUAAUCUAAAUUAAUUAAUAUUGUAUCACAUAUAAUUUCAUAUUUUGAUAUUUUUCUUGCAUCAUUUAAAGUUCUAAUUUAGAUGAGAAAUAAUUUUCAAAUCUAAACAAUUUUACUAUGCAACAAAAAUAAAGAUCCUAUGGUUUUAGAUCUAGGGUUUGAC